UGGAUCUCUGAAUUGGAACAAAAGAUC
RNAcentral lists this non-coding RNA (27 nucleotides) under Mus musculus (house mouse). The record is from RNAcentral. Lineage: Eukaryota; Metazoa; Chordata; Mammalia; Rodentia; Muridae.